UUCAGUGCUCACUUUGAUAUACUAAAAAUUGGAAAUGAUACAGAGAUUAGCAUGGCGUCUGAGCCAGGAUGACUUGCAAAUUCGUGAAGUGUUCUGUAUUCUU
Small nuclear RNA from Mustela putorius furo (domestic ferret), 103 nucleotides. NCBI's taxonomy places the organism in Eukaryota, Metazoa, Chordata, Mammalia, Carnivora, Mustelidae. The record is from Ensembl.